CACACACACACACUCAUUCUCUCUCUCUGUCUCUCUCUCUCUCCCCCCUAAAGAACCCAGCCCUGCAGUAACUAGACAUUUAACACAGAAUGAAGAAUUUUAUUAGUUGGUCCAUAAAGGAUCCUGCCUCUUCUGGCUUCCUGGAUAUGGGUAACUAUUACAAUUAUAUUUAAUUACAGUUGCUUCAGUUACUUACUGUUAUUAUGAUUAUUAUCCAUCAGUAUAACAUCAUGGGGGAUUUUUAAAAACAUAAAUAGCCUUUCUAGCAUUCAAGAUCUUUACACAUAAAAAGAGGAAAGCUACUGUUCCAAAUUUCCCCAUGAGUCACCAAUGAAUCCUGACCAUGAACCAGCUCCAGGAUUGAUGUUUAGAGUUUUUGAUAUUUGGACAAAGAAAAAAGUUCUGAUCUUAACAGCAAAACUCCCAUGGGAAUCAGUGAGGCCAAAUCCCUGAGGUCUGUGCUAGUUAUUACUCAGGUAAAGCCCUACUGACCUUAACAGGAGUUUGCUGGAGCGCAAACCAAAGCAAACUGGAGGCUCGGAGCAAGCACUGCCGCAUUUGGCCCAGUAGUAGCACUAUUUUAAGUUGCGGUGUUUUGGACAAUAGAACGCAGCAGAUCUUUUCUUGUUUAGCAGCAAAAAUUCUUGUGAGUUCCCACUGGUGUUCUCAUGUGGGCGAAGGUUGUAGGACAGAGUCUCUCCUAUGCUGGAAUCUAGCUGGAGAAAGUCAAGUAGGAUUCCUUGACUCUCAAAUUUCCCUGCUGCAGUGCAAGUUACAGUUUCCUGUAUGUUGCUGUAACUGAUGAUAUGUGGCAACAAUCCCCAAGGGGGACUGCACAGCCGCUGGGAUUUAGCGAGCAGUGCAUCCAUCCCUAGCUAGCCAGUCUGCUGCCCUGUCAUAUCCCUCACUCUGAGAGGGUGUGUGGAAGCCACCUCUGCUAACAUGCUGGCUCCUGGGAAAGGCACACAGGGGAAGAAUUUUCAACCAGCUAGCUGUGGCCAGAUUCUGGAUUCUUCAUGCCACUAAGGCAGCAUCAAGAGGAUAGAACCAGGACAGAGAACUGGGCCCAGCUGGGGUCAGCAGUAUUAUGAAACAGAAGCCAAAACUAAGAUACAGCACGUCUCUCUGUUUCACCCCAUCUUUCCUUGGAAGGGAGGGUUGAGUCAUGCCUGAAUUAUCCCCACAUCUGGGCCUCCAAUAAUCCCAAAAGCUACGGCAUGCUGAUAGUAAUAAACACCUCAAAGAAACUCACUGGCGGUUGCAUCAAUGUGGAACGGCUUGACUGUGAUGAAGUGCAUUAAAAGAGCCAUGACAGGAACUAAGGUCACUCUGCAAGUUACUCAUCUGAUGGCUGCUCUGGGUGUCUAUGAAGUGGAUUGGAAAAGCCUGCCUGGAAUACAGCUGUUGACUUUCAGAGGUUGUGCGUGUGAAUACAGGAAUCCAAAAAAGCUCCCUCUAGGGACGUGUCUCCAAGGGGGUUUUGAAAGCUUUUGAAAAGCUGUCAUUGGUAUGAUUUGGUAACUUAGGAAAGUAGCCCUCUCCUUUUCUCUCACCACACCCCUUUCUUCUCCUGUGAAAAGCUCAUUCAUGGCUCUCCUCUUCCUUCCCUGCCGCAUUUCCACCUUAAAAGUCUUUUCUCUUUGUUUUCUUUUGUUCAAACCUGGAUUUUUCAUCCCACUGUUUUGUUUCUGUGUUGAUUGUGCACAGACCCAGAGAGUUACGUUUGAAAUGGCAUGAGGCUCCUACUGAUGCUGUGACCCGAGUGGUAUGGAUUAGGUAUGCUGCAGUUAUUAGGGCUGGUUGAAAAUUUUUGAGAGAGAAUUUUCAAACUGACAGAAAAUUGGCUUUCCAAAUAAACAUUAAAUGCUUUUCAAAAAGUAUCUAUUUUCUAAGGAUACCUUCAACUUUUUUUCAAAAAAACUAGGCAUGUCAAAACAACACAAAACCAAACCAAACAAUUAAUUCACAAAUGUUGCUGUGGUGCCCCCGACUGCUUCAUGCCUCCACUCUCUUUUAUAGGCCAGGUUCCCUAGUGGAACUAUAUCUCCCAUGAUGCACCACUUCCAUGGAGUCCCAUGGUGCACAGCAAGAGAAGCAACUGUGGUGCUUUGUGGGAGAUGUAGGCCAGGCAGGAAGCCUGGAACCUCAUGGGUGCACAAGGCACCCAAAAUACAACUCCCAUGUGUCAGCAUUUCCAAAUCACCAUUUUCAUGCUGGGCCCAAAACUGAUCAUUUUACAUUUUUUAACCCAAAAGCCAGAUUUUUCUGGCAUGUAUGUGGGUGUGGGUGAUCAGUUCUAAUAGUUCUUAUUAUUGCAGGUUCAACCCCAUUUCCACAGUGCAGCAACAACUGUGAGCUCUUUGUCACUACAUGGAAGUUAACAUGGAGUCAUGCAUUUUACUCUGGAACGGGGCAGCAGGGAGCCUUUUGGAUACAAUUUAAAAAUCAAGACCCUGUCUUCUCCGGUUAUAAAUACUAGGAGUGGUCUCAGGAGGGCUGAAAUUUUCAAAAGUGUGCACGAGCUGGGCACCCCAAACUCAGGAAGACAUUUGAACAUGUUGGCCAUAUCUUGUGAGGUGCAGAGUUCCUUUUGCUCGCAUUGGGAUGCUCAGGACUUGUGCUUUGGGCCUUUAUCAUCAUCAUGUUCCAGCAGCUCCCUAAAUCCUCCAUCAGGAUGGAGGCCCCAUUAUGCUACCUCUCUGUACACAGAGUAAUGAGAACUAAUGGUAAUACCUAGCUGUUCUACAGCAUGUUUUAGCUGGAGACUUCCAGGCACCUCACAAAGAUGCUAACUUUCAUUAGCCUCAUUUUAGAGUUGGAAUAACCUGGCAGAGCAGUCCAAAGCCUGGAUUCAUGAAGGUUCUCCAGCACCCAAGUCCCAGUCUCAGGCUCUGCUGCACUGGACAGAACUUCUGCAAAAUCCUGUGUGUCCCUGUUAAACUCGCUCAGCCCCUCAGUGUCUGCAGUACAAAUGUUCUUCUGGGCAUGUGUACUGCUGCCUUUCCCUAGUCAUCUGGACGCCUG
Molecule: non-coding RNA, 3024 nt
Organism: Pelodiscus sinensis (Chinese soft-shelled turtle)
Lineage: Eukaryota; Metazoa; Chordata; Testudines; Trionychidae
Source: RefSeq, a predicted model, not a curated record